GGAGGGGGCAAGCGUUGUUCGGAAUUACUGGGGCGUAAAGGGGCACGUAGGCGGCCUGAUUAGUCAGGCGUGAAAUCCCAUGGCUCAACCAUGGGAAUUGCGUUUGAUACUGUCAGGCUUGAGUAUGGGAGAGGAGAGUGGAAUUCCUAGUGUAGCGGUGAAAUGCGCAGAUAUUAGGAGGAACACCAGUGGCGAAGGCGACUCUCUGGCCCGAUACUGACGCUGAGGUGCGAAAGCGUGGGGAGCGAACGGGAUUAGAUACCCCGGUAGUCCACGCUGUAAACGAUGGGUACUAGGUGUAGGGGAGUAUGAAAUCUUCUGUGCCGAAGCUAACGCAUUAAGUACCCCGCCUGGGGAGUACGAUCGCAAAGAUUGA
RNAcentral lists this ribosomal RNA (376 nucleotides) under uncultured organism. RNAcentral's name for it is "partial 16S ribosomal RNA". It matches the Rfam family "Bacterial small subunit ribosomal RNA", at positions 527 to 897 of the family's 1533-position model. The record is from RNAcentral.